Molecule: small RNA, 123 nt
Filed under: Gillisella taibaishanensis
Lineage: Bacteria; Pseudomonadati; Pseudomonadota; Alphaproteobacteria; Hyphomicrobiales; Rhizobiaceae
Description: Rhizobium taibaishanense ar14
Rfam family: Alphaproteobacterial ar14
About the family: Smr14C2 was renamed NfeR1 (Nodule Formation Efficiency RNA) highly expressed in salt stress and during the symbiotic interaction on legume roots.
Source: RNAcentral
AUUUACGGGCCAGCUUCUCCUCCUCCCAAAGCGGCCCGUCGGAAUGACGACACUCCUCCUCCCAGUCGUCGUUCAUUGUUUUCGAAAAGCCUGCCGCACCUCCUCCCGCGGCGGGCUUUUCGU